Molecule: unclassified non-coding RNA, 253 nt
Filed under: uncultured Verrucomicrobiota bacterium
Lineage: Bacteria; Pseudomonadati; Verrucomicrobiota
Description: uncultured Verrucomicrobia bacterium contains 16S-23S intergenic spacer region
Rfam family: Bacterial small subunit ribosomal RNA
Source: RNAcentral
UACGUACUGGGCGUACGUUGUUCGGAAUCACUGGGCGUAAAGGGAGCGUAGGCGGCAAGGUAAGUCAGGUGUGAAAUCCCGGGGCUCAACCCCGGAACUGCACCCGAUACUGCUUUGCUAGAGUAAUGGAGGGGUAGCUGGAAUUCUCGGUGUAGCAGUGAAAUGCGUGGAUAUCGAGAGGAACACUUGUGGCGAAGGCGAGCUACUGGACAUUUACUGACGCUGAGGCUCGAAGGCCAGGGUAGCGAAAGGG